UUGACCUCAAAUCAGGUAGGACUACCCGCUGAACUUAAGCAUAUCAAUAAGCGGAGGAAAAGAAACUAACAAGGAUUCCCCUAGUAACUGCGAGUGAAGCGGGAAGAGCUCAAAUUUGAAAUCUGGCGGUUCUUGACCGUCCGAGUUGUAAUCUAGAGAAGUGCUACCUGUG
RNAcentral lists this ribosomal RNA (172 nucleotides) under uncultured fungus. Its description in RNAcentral is "partial 28S ribosomal RNA". It matches the Rfam family "Eukaryotic large subunit ribosomal RNA", at positions 1 to 169 of the family's 3401-position model. Lineage: Eukaryota; Fungi. The record is from RNAcentral.